GGUAGUGUGCCUCCACAAAUCUGUCAUUGGUCAUCUGAUACUCUAGGUAACAACUCACAACAUACUUAUUCAGAACAUCUCAAACAUCUCUAGUCGUAUUGUUGGAACUGUAUUAGUCAUACAAAUCAUCAGCAAGUCCAUUAAAAAUAUAAUUUUAUCAUUCUUCUCCCAUGGGUUCAUUCUUCAGCUUUCUUAUCAUUUU
This 202-nucleotide long non-coding RNA is filed under the name Cicer arietinum (chickpea). RNAcentral's name for it is "long non-coding RNA (CARI_LNC001748)". Lineage: Eukaryota; Viridiplantae; Streptophyta; Magnoliopsida; Fabales; Fabaceae. The record is from RNAcentral.